UUUAUGCAUAUCAGUUGCAUGUUCCUUAAAGCCACUGUAAUGAUGACUACUGUUUCCAGGUAUAUUUUUAUGGAGUCAUAUGGACGUGCUCGUUGAUAAUUCGUAUAGAAUGUGUAUAUUCUUUAUAACUUUGCCAUGUAAUGCCUACUGUUAGAAAACAUCUUGCAAGUACUUUGGUUAGGUACUUGAAAGCACAUAUACACACAUGCCCAGCACAGCAAUAAGCACACACAUACAACAUAGAACAUAUGCUCUGCUCCUGAUUUGUCAAUAGUAUGAUGAUGCUUUGCUCUGAUUUGCUUUGCCACUCUAAAAGUUCUGCACUAGGGGCCACUUUGCAUGUGCUUGCUCAUGUAGUGACCUGAUUGCCAGUUGUUUGUGUUGAUGUGUUCAACUUAUGUCUAGAUACAACAAGUUAGUCUUGAUUUGUCCAAGAACUAAGUAGAAUUGUCUGAACUCUGCUUACACACAUCUGCCAUGUGGUGAGAUUAUGCGGGCAAGAAAAUGCAACAAGCUUGAUUGCGGGAUGCCCACGAGCACCUGCAUAACACAUGCGUGCAAGUGUGGGCAUCCCGCUAUUAGUCCCACUUGCAACAUGAAUGUGUAUCCCUAAUGAAGUGAAUGGUCAUGACAGUGUUCCUGAACUAUGACCAUCCAUUGACAUAUUGUUCAUACAAAUUCUAUUAUCAAUGUCGCUGAAUGAUAAUAUUGACCAUAAUGUAGGUUGCUUCCAAAGUACUCCCUUCGUCCCAUAAUAUAAAGUGUGUUUUUUGACACUACACUAGUGUAAAAAAUGCACUUAUAUUAUGGGACACGGAGUAGUUUUAGAGACUAUAACAUAUCCAAACUAGUGUAAUGUGGUAUAUGCUACUAUUCAGAGUACUGAUCUAGAAACUAAGGCUGGUGAUAUUGAGUUAGGUGUUGAACUUGCACUUGUGCGCAUAGAUGUACCUAUUCUUGAUAAUGAGGAGUUAGUAAAGUAAGUUUCUCAUUGCAAGAGAAUUGGUGAUGCUUUUGCUUCAGAAUACUUAAUUGCCUGACCUUUAGCUUUUGUAAGUUGAAGUGUUCUCUUCCAUAUUCCAAAUUAUAUUUGUGUACAUUUAAUUACAUAACUGCCAGGUCCAUUUUUUUACAGAUUCAAAAGAAGGAUAAUUAAGUUGCAGCUAAAUUCUCGGAUGGAUGAAGAAGCAAAUAAAGUUAGAAGAUUUUACUUAGCAAUAUCCAUAGUUUACAUUGACAGAUUGAAAAAUUGUAAUACUAUUCACAAGAUCUUUUUCUUUGGUUCAAUUGAUGUAAAUGCUAUGGUGUAAUAUUCUUCAUAGAUGUGUUCUCUAUAGUCAAAGUGAUAUGGAUGAUAUGUUGUUGCACCAAUAAGAUUGGUAUGUAUUUAUUGUAAUGCAUAUGUAUCCUACACUCUUGUAUAUUCAUAAUAAAUACCUUGAUAUUUUCAAUUUGUGUAUGUGUUUGUG
This 1469-nucleotide long non-coding RNA is filed under the name Triticum aestivum (bread wheat). RNAcentral describes it as "long non-coding RNA (TAES_LNC018742)". Lineage: Eukaryota; Viridiplantae; Streptophyta; Magnoliopsida; Poales; Poaceae. The record is from RNAcentral.